RNAcentral lists this ribosomal RNA (441 nucleotides) under uncultured Oomycota. Its description in RNAcentral is "LSU rRNA". It matches the Rfam family "Eukaryotic large subunit ribosomal RNA", at positions 165 to 609 of the family's 3401-position model. Lineage: Eukaryota; Oomycota. The record is from RNAcentral.
AGCAUAGCGAUUUGGGAUAAGUCCCUUGGAAAAGGGCAGCAUGGAGGGUGAUACUCCCGUCUCUGCUCGGAUUGUCUGUGUGUACGAUACGCUUUCUUUGAGUCGAGUUGUUUGGGAAUACAGCUCACAGUAGGUGGUAAAUUCCAUCUAAAGCUAAAUAUUGGUGCGAGACCGAUAGCGAACAAGUACCGUGAGGGAAAGAUGAAAAGAACUUUGAAAAGAGAGUUAAAGAGUACCUGAAACUGUUGAAAGGGAACCGUAUCGUUUCCAGUGUUUUAUCCUGUGCAUAUUUCAUUAGCGGAGCAAUUUGCUGGUGCCCUGUGCAUGGGUGUGACGUCAGAGUCAGUUUGUAUGCUGCGGGAGAUGGUCAGUGAGGAGGUGCGUCACUUCGGUGAAAGUUAUAUCUCGCUGUCUAGUAGCCGUGGUUGAGACUGAGGUGCC